GAUGAACGCUGGCGGCGUGCUUAACACAUGCAAGUCGAACGAAGCACUCUAUUUGAUUUCCUUCGGGACUGAUUAUUUUGUGACUGAGUGGCGGACGGGUGAGUAACGCGUGGGUAACCUGCCUUGUACAGGGGGAUAACAGUUGGAAACGGCUGCUAAUCCCGCAUAAGCGCACAGCAUCGCAUGAUGCAGUGUGAAAAACUCCGGUGGUAUAAGAUGGACCCGCGUUGGAUUCGCUAGUUGGUGCGGUAACGGCCCACCAAGGCGACGAUCCAUAGCCGAGCUGAGAGGGUGACCGGCCACAUUGGUACUGAGACACGGCCCAAACUCCUACGGGAAGCAGCAGUGGGGAAUAUUGCACAAUGGGCGAAAGCCUGAUGCAGCGACGCCGCGUGAGCGAAGAAGUAUUGCUGUAUGUAAAGCUCUAUCAGCAGGGAAGAUAAUGACGGUACCUAACGAAGAAGCACCGGCUAAAUACGUG
This 481-nucleotide ribosomal RNA is filed under the name uncultured bacterium. Its description in RNAcentral is "partial 16S ribosomal RNA". It matches the Rfam family "Bacterial small subunit ribosomal RNA", at positions 28 to 507 of the family's 1533-position model. The record is from RNAcentral.